Molecule: ribosomal RNA, 515 nt
Filed under: uncultured bacterium
Lineage: Bacteria
Description: partial 16S ribosomal RNA
Rfam family: Bacterial small subunit ribosomal RNA
Source: RNAcentral
GAUGAACGCUGGCGGCGUGCCUAAUACAUGAAAGUCGAGCGAAUGGAUUAAGAGCUUGCUCUUAUGAAGUUAGCGGCGGACGGGUGAGUAACACGUGGGUAACAUGCCCAUAAGACUGGGAUAACUCCGGGAAACAGGGGCUAAUACCGGAUACCAUUUUGAACCGCAUGGUUCGAAAUUGCAUGGAGGCUUCGGCUGUCACUUAUGGAUGGACCCGCGUCGCAUUAGCUAGUUGGUGAGGUAACGGCUCACCAAGGCAACGAUGCGUAGCAGAACUGAGAGGGUGAUCGGCGACACUGGGACUGGGACACGGCCCAGACUCAUACGGGAGGCAGCAGUAGGGAAUCUUCCGCAAUGGACGCAAGUCUGACGGAUCAGCGCCGCGUGAGUGAUGAAGGCUUUCGGGUCGUAAAACUCUUUUGUUAGGGAAGAACAAGUGCUAGUUUAGUAAGCUGGCAUCUUGACGGUACCUAACCAGAAAGCCACGGCUAACUACGUGCCAGCCGCCGCAGUAA